GACGAACGCUGGCGGUGUGCUUAACACAUGCAAGUGGUGCGACGAACCAGAGCUUGCUCUGGGGCAAAGCCGCGAACGGGUGAGUAGCACGUGGGUAAUCUACCCCGAUGACCGGGACAACCCGAGGAAACUCGGGCUAAUACCGGAUGUGGUACGGAGACAUAAGUCUCUUUACUAAAGGUAGCUUCGGCUUCCGCAUUGGGAGGGGCCCGCGGCCCAUUAGCUAGUUGGUGGGGUCAAGGCCUACCAAGGCAACGAUGGGUAGCUGGUCUGAGAGGACGAUCAGCCACACUGGGACUGAGACACGGCCCAGACUCCUACGGAGGCAGCAGUGGGGAAUCUUGCGCAAUGCGCGAAAGCGUGACGCAGCAACACCGCGUGAGGGAAGACGGCCUUAGGGUUGUAAACCUCUUUCAGAUGGGACGAAGGUGAUGCGGUGAAUAGCCGAUGUCAUUGACGGUACCGUCAGAAGAAGCUCCGGCUAACUACGUGCCAGCAG
This 499-nucleotide ribosomal RNA is filed under the name uncultured bacterium. Its description in RNAcentral is "bacterial SSU rRNA". It matches the Rfam family "Bacterial small subunit ribosomal RNA", at positions 28 to 514 of the family's 1533-position model. The record is from RNAcentral.